UGUGGCUCAGCCGUAGAGUGCAUGCCUAGCAUGCAUGAAGCAUUGGGUUCGAUCCUCAACA
This 61-nucleotide transfer RNA is filed under the name Ictidomys tridecemlineatus (thirteen-lined ground squirrel). RNAcentral's name for it is "Spermophilus tridecemlineatus (thirteen-lined ground squirrel) tRNA". It matches the Rfam family "tRNA", at positions 6 to 65 of the family's 71-position model. Rfam says of the family: Transfer RNA (tRNA) molecules are approximately 80 nucleotides in length. Their secondary structure includes four short double-helical elements and three loops (D, anti-codon, and T loops). Lineage: Eukaryota; Metazoa; Chordata; Mammalia; Rodentia; Sciuridae. The record is from Rfam by way of RNAcentral.